UUAAGUUCAGCGGGUAGUCCUACCUGAUUUGAGGUCUAGCAUAAAGUAGUUGCCCGAGGGCGGGUUGUGAGCGGGCUCGAGGGGCCGGACGAGACGAAACUUAUUACGUCAAGCCAUAGGCCGAUGAUCCCACUAAGGUCUUUAAGGCGAGCCGUGUGACCGGCAGACGCCCAACUCCAAGUCCACCGCCAGGUCAAGAA
This 200-nucleotide unclassified non-coding RNA is filed under the name Cryptococcus sp. (in: basidiomycete fungi). RNAcentral describes it as "Cryptococcus sp. partial internal transcribed spacer 2". The record is from RNAcentral. Lineage: Eukaryota; Fungi; Basidiomycota; Tremellomycetes; Tremellales; Cryptococcaceae.